Molecule: transfer RNA, 64 nt
Filed under: Diaphorina citri (Asian citrus psyllid)
Lineage: Eukaryota; Metazoa; Arthropoda; Insecta; Hemiptera; Psyllidae
Rfam family: tRNA
About the family: Transfer RNA (tRNA) molecules are approximately 80 nucleotides in length.
Source: Rfam by way of RNAcentral
GCCCCGGGCGUAGUGCGUCUGCCUUGUAAGCGCUAGGCCGCGGGUUCGAUUCCCGCCCGGGGCG